ACAAACUUUCUUUCAAAUUCCAGAAACUAGAGUAGACAACUUCUCAAACAAGAACGGGCUAGGCUAAGGCAAUGUAUUUGACAGAACAAGACAACCACAAGCAAUGGAUUUAACAACACAGCAGAACAACUAUUCUACACAGACUCUAGAUCAGAUUGCAAAAGCAAAUAAAAGCUUCAAUUAAAGAAUGACAGAUUAGAUUUCUCAUGCAAUAGACAAAACUAGGAGAGCCAGUAAUGACUAACAAGAAACAAGCUACUUAGAACAGAAGGCACACAUACUGAACCUACCAAAGGA
RNAcentral lists this long non-coding RNA (297 nucleotides) under Vigna radiata. RNAcentral's name for it is "long non-coding RNA (VRAD_LNC001574)". Lineage: Eukaryota; Viridiplantae; Streptophyta; Magnoliopsida; Fabales; Fabaceae. The record is from RNAcentral.